GCAGACUUUGGAUAGCUCAGCUGGUUAUAGCGUGGUGUUGAUAAUGCCAAGGAUGCUGGUUCAAUCCCUGUAUGGGGCAAUUGCA
Non-coding RNA from Podarcis lilfordi (Lilford's wall lizard), 85 nucleotides. NCBI's taxonomy places the organism in Eukaryota, Metazoa, Chordata, Lepidosauria, Squamata, Lacertidae. The record is from the annotation of a GenBank genome assembly.